This 861-nucleotide ribosomal RNA is filed under the name Escherichia coli. Its description in RNAcentral is "bacterial LSU rRNA". It matches the Rfam family "Bacterial large subunit ribosomal RNA", at positions 1 to 894 of the family's 2925-position model. The record is from RNAcentral. Lineage: Bacteria; Pseudomonadati; Pseudomonadota; Gammaproteobacteria; Enterobacterales; Enterobacteriaceae.
GGGUUGUGAGGUUAAGCGACUAAGCGUACACGGUGGAUGCCCUGGCAGUCAGAGGCGAUGAAGGACGUGCUAAUCUGCGAUAAGCGUCGGUAAGGUGAUAUGAACCGUUAUAACCGGCGAUUUCCGAAUGGGGAAACCCAGUGUGUUUCGACACACUAUCAUUAACUGAAUCCAUAGGUUAAUGAGGCGAACCGGGGGAACUGAAACAUCUAAGUACCCCGAGGAAAAGAAAUCAACCGAGAUUCCCCCAGUAGCGGCGAGCGAACGGGGAGSAGCCCAGAGCCUGAAUCAGUGUGUGUGUUAGUGGAAGCGUCUGGAAAGGCGCGCGAUACAGGGUGACAGCCCCGUACACAAAAAUGCACAUGCUGUGAGCUCGAUGAGUAGGGCGGGACACGUSGUAUCCUGUCUGAAUAUGGGGGGACCAUCCUCCAAGGCUAAAUACUCCUGACUGACCGAUAGUGAACCAGUACCGUGAGGGAAAGGCGAAAAGAACCCCGGCGAGGGGAGUGAAAAAGAACCUGAAACCGUGUACGUACAAGCAGUGGGAGCACAGAGCAAUCUGUGUGACUGCGUACCUUUUGUAUAAUGGGUCAGCGACUUAUAUUCUGUAGCAAGGUUAACCGAAUAGGGGAGCCGAAGGGAAACCGAGUCUUAACUGGGCGUUAAGUUGCAGGGUAUAGACCCGAAACCCGGUGAUCUAGCCAUGGGCAGGUUGAAGGUUGGGUAACACUAACUGGAGGACCGAACCGACUAAUGUUGAAAAAUUAGCGGAUGACUUGUGGCUGGGGGUGAAAGGCCAAUCAAACCGGGAGAUAGCUGGUUCUCCCCGAAAGCUAUUUAGGUAGCGCCUCGUGAAUUCAU